AGAUUGAACGCUGGCGGCAUGCCUUACACAUGCAAGUCGAACGGCAGCACGGGAGCAAUCCUGGUGGCGAGUGGCGAACGGGUGAGUAAUAUAUCGGAACGUGCCCAGUCGUGGGGGAUAACGCAGCGAAAGCUGUGCUAAUACCGCAUACGAUCUAUGGAUGAAAGCGGGGGGUCGCAAGACCUCGCGCGAUUGGAGCGGCCGAUAUCAGAUUAGCUAGUUGGUGGGGUAAAAGCCUACCAAGGCGACGAUCUGUAGCUGGUCUGAGAGGACGACCAGCCACACUGGAACUGAGACACGGUCCAGGCUCCUACGGGAGCAGCGAGGUGGGGAAUUUUGGACAAGUGGGCGCAAGCCUGAUCCAGCGAUCGCCGCGUGCAGGAUGGAAGGUCCGUUGGUUAGUAACUUGUCGUUU
This 415-nucleotide ribosomal RNA is filed under the name uncultured soil bacterium. Its description in RNAcentral is "bacterial SSU rRNA". It matches the Rfam family "Bacterial small subunit ribosomal RNA", at positions 26 to 438 of the family's 1533-position model. The record is from RNAcentral.